Molecule: long non-coding RNA, 1329 nt
Organism: Capsicum annuum
Lineage: Eukaryota; Viridiplantae; Streptophyta; Magnoliopsida; Solanales; Solanaceae
Exons: 4
Source: RefSeq, a predicted model, not a curated record
AGCACACAGAUUCGUAGUAACUUGUCUAGUCUAACUAAGACACUUUAAUUGAAAUGGAGGGAGUAUUAGUUAUAUAUAUUCAAUUUAUUUUUGUUUGGUAUAAUGGUUGAUUUGAGAUUAAAUGGAGUAGUGAGGAUUCAUAUAAGUGGCCGCAACUUGUUUGGGACUGAGGCAUAAUCAUUGUUUGAAUGAUAAAGAGAUGAAAUACUAGUUUACAUCCUCUGAGCUGAUGCUUAAAUCUGGUAUUGUGGAGACUUUAGGUUUAGAAUGUAUUUAGUUCUAAGUGUUAUCUUGUGCUUUAAAAAUUCUAGUGGCUGUUCCAUUACCCUGAUUCAUUUGGAAAGACGUAGGUCCUUUCUAAAUAUACAUGUAUGUGUUAUAUUUGGAAAGACGCAUGUAUUUGUUAUAUGCAUGUAUGUGUUAUGUGGUUCAGCACUUUUGAUCUCCUCACCUGCUACAUAUAGUUAUAAAGAAACCUGAAUAGGCAAUUUUGGUCCUAGCUGGUGCAUGAUAAAUCUUAGGUGUUUGCUUUCCAGCAAGAGUUAGGUUACUAUAUGUGUAUCUUGUUUUCUCCAAAUAUAUGAUUUUGCCCUACUCUUAUAAUUUUACAAUAUGCCAUGUCGGCCAUUGGAUCACAUGAUGUUAACUCAAUCUCUCUUCAUCUAGUUCAGUGGCUCCGGAGAGUGUAAGAAUGUCUAAGAGCUUUAAGGUAGCAAAUCUGGCUGUUGUGCGGUGCAUUUGCUUGUUACAUAAUGCAGGAAUUUUGAAAAGCAAUUAAAAGUUCUAACUAAUAUAUGUGAUAGGAUAGUCCUUUUAGCUUCUAAGGUAUUAGGCAUGACAUGCUGUCCAAGAUGUACAUCUCUUGGAGAGAAUGUCUUUUCCUAAUAAUCUGUAAUAUUCCUUUCCUCUUCAGUGAAUUUAUUUUCUAUCUGAGAAAGACAGUGGAAGAUAUUACGUGACCUCCUGACACAUUAUACUACUUAUUUCUUGAACCGUGUGAGAAUUUACUGAUAAUAUGAGAUUUUAUGAGGCAGAAAUGAGGCUUUGUUAAAUGUUAUAAUACUUAUUUUCCACUAUUGCAGAGACUCCUUCAUAUAUGGAGGUGGGAAUGCCUGCUUUGUCCCCUACAAUGACUCAAGGUAAUAUAGCAAAGUGGAGAAAGAAAGAGGGGGACAAGAUUGAAGUGGGGGACAUACUAUGUGAGAUAGAACUGAUAAAGCAACGCUCGAGUUUGAAAGUCUUGAGGAAGGUUACCUUGCAAAGAUAUUGGCCCCUGAAGGAACAAAAGAUGUACCAGUGGGACAGACUAUAGCAAUUACGGUAAUAAGA